GUCAAAAAAAGGAAACAGGGGACAAAUAGAAAAAAAUUAGGUGGGAAUUUUAAACUCAUUUACUAGUGAUUAAAUUAAUAUUUAGUAAAGCAACUACUCCAGGGCUUUCCAGGUGGCUCAGUUGUAAAGAAUUUGCCUGGCAGUGUGGGAGACUCAGGAGAUGUGAACUUGAUCCCUGGGUCUGUGAGAUCUCCUGGAGGAGGAAAUGGCAACCCACUCCAGUAUUCUUGACUUGGAAACCCCAUGGACGGAGGAGCCUGGUGGGCUACAGUCCAUGGGGUCACAAAGAAUAGGACAUGACUGAGCUACUGAGCACGCAUGCAAACCAAAUACUCCAAGUAAAAGAUAAAUAUUGUUAGACUGCAAUUUUAAAAUUUUAUUUCUAUUAUUCACUUAAUUCUCACAAUUCUCUAUUUAUAUCUAUUUUAUGAGUGAAAAAAUGGAGACUUCAGGGAGUAAAGAAACUUGCCAAAAUGACACAGCUGAAAAACAGCAAAGUCAAGAUAAGAGCCCCAGUUGUCCAACCCAACAUCCUUCCUUGUGGUAUUUAGUACAACUCAGCAAAGAGAAGGUCCUGUCAAGCUUGGCAAGAGCUGUGUCCAUGCGAUUUCAGGGUCAGAGCCGGACUGCAGCUGGCGUGGUGAAUGAUAAAAUUAAAAGUAGACAUCACCAUCUAAAUUCAUCAGCAGAAUGCACCGGAACACCAGGAAGGGGAUACGGGAGGAAGUCUCAGGGGGGAGUAAGCUGUCCUGCAAUGUAGGGAGGCAGUGCACUCUCUGUGGAAAAGGAUCUUGGUUUCCUGUUCAUGAGUGGGGCUAAGAGAAGUCACUCUAGCCUUCAACUGCAUCUGGUAAGUUGCCCAGUGGGCUGUCCUGUUGGUUCAGUGGUAAAGAACCCACCUGCCAAUGCAGGAGACAUGGGUUUGAUCCCUGGGUCAGGAAAGACCCCCUGGAGGAGGAAAUGUACUGUAUCUCCAGUAUUCUUGCCUGGGAAAUCCCAUGGACGGAGGAGCCUGGUGGGCUGCAGUCCAUGGGGUCGCUAGAGUCGGACACGGCUGAGCUACUUCCCUUUCACUUUUCACUUUCAUGCAUUGGAGAAGGAAAUGGCAACCCACUCCAGUGUUCUUGCCUGGAGAAUCCCAGGGACGGGAGAGCCUGGUGGGCUGCUGUCUAUGGGGUCGCACAGAGUCGGACAUGACUGAAGUGACUUAGCAGCAAGCAUACACAAUGACCGGCUUACCUUGAUGAAAGGUAAAAUUUUCUGCAUGGAAAAACUUAGAGACUGACUCCAAAAGCUGACUUCUUGAAAAUCCAAGCACCAAACUGUAUUCUCCCUAAUCACACUUGGGGCUUCCCUGGUGGCUCAGUGGUAAAGAACCUGCCUGCCAAUGCAGGUGUCUCAGCAGGAUCAGCGAUGGUGUUGCCAGCCCCCUGCUUACUGCCAGUAAGCAAAUGCAUCCUUGGGCUGAAACAUGAAGCAGAUGUUAGCACCCAGGAAAGGUAACUGGAUCAGAGCUUGCAAGGAUCCAUUACCCUUUCUGCUCUUGGAGAGCUGAUAUUUAUUGCAGGAUGUGAAUGGCAUCCUCUCAUGCUGCGGUUCUUAAACAUUCGGUCAUCAGAAUCAUCUGGAAAGCUUAUUAAUGCCCAGAUCACUGGUCCUCAGCCCCAGAGUUUCUGAUUAGGAGGGCCGAAGGAUUUGCCUCUUCAACAAGCUCUCAACAAUGCUGGUGCUGCUGGCCUGGGGACCCCGCUUAGGAAAGUCCUAGGGGAUCCUUGAUUCUCCUAAAAUUUCAUGCACAAUCUGUGCAUACGUGCCUGUGUGUUUUUGUUCUUGAAUGUGUUUCAUAGCUUUCCUCAGAAUAUACAAGUGAAUCAAACCACAAACCAAGAAAAACCAGUAACUUUAAGAACAUUUACUGGGACUUCCUUGGCGGUCCAGUGGUUAGAACUUCAUCUUCCAAUGCAGGGGGUGUGGAUUCAAUCCCUGGCCAGGGAACUGAGAUCCCAUAUACCUCAUGGUCAAAAAACCAAAAACCAUGAAACAGAAGCAAUAUGGCAACACAUUCAAUAAAGACUUUAAGAACGGUUUCCUUUUUUUUAAA
This 2101-nucleotide long non-coding RNA is filed under the name Bos indicus x Bos taurus (hybrid cattle). Its description in RNAcentral is "lncRNA (ENSBIXG00000008074.1)". Lineage: Eukaryota; Metazoa; Chordata; Mammalia; Artiodactyla; Bovidae. The record is from RNAcentral.